RNAcentral lists this ribosomal RNA (292 nucleotides) under uncultured bacterium. Its description in RNAcentral is "partial 16S ribosomal RNA". It matches the Rfam family "Bacterial small subunit ribosomal RNA", at positions 505 to 796 of the family's 1533-position model. The record is from RNAcentral.
GUGUCAGCAGCCGCGGUAAUACGUAGGUGGCGAGCGUUGUCCGGAAUUACUGGGCGUAAAGGGUGCGCAGGCGGUCAUUUAAGUCAGAUGUGAAAACCCGGGGCUUAACUCCGGGAUUGCAUUUGAAACUGGGUGGCUAGAGUGCAGGAGAGGAAAGCGGAAUUCCUAGUGUAGCGGUGAAAUGCGUAGAUAUUAGGAAGAACACCAGUGGCGAAGGCGGCUUUCUGGACUGUAACUGACGCUGAGGCACGAAAGCGUGGGGAGCAAACAGGAUUAGAAACCCCCGUAGUCC